RNAcentral lists this long non-coding RNA (1920 nucleotides) under Cricetulus griseus (Chinese hamster). RNAcentral's name for it is "lncRNA (ENSCGRG00015037301.1)". Lineage: Eukaryota; Metazoa; Chordata; Mammalia; Rodentia; Cricetidae. The record is from RNAcentral.
UGGCCCUGUAUGAAGAAUAGAAUGCUCCUGGUUACUGUCUACAGAAAUCAUGGAAAUAAUCUCUGCUUUUUUUUUUUUUUUAAGGAGUCAUUUUUUUAUGUAGAAGUUUCUUUCGGAUACCUUUGUGAAUUCAUGCUUCAGCAUGUGGUGUCCCUGCUUCCCUGGAAUUUUGGGAGAAGGCCAGAGGGCUGCCUGGAGGAGGUGGUACCUGCUGAUGCACAGACUGCCUCCAAGUCUAGGUUCCUUUGUGUGGCCUUCAAAGCCCCACCCCCCAGCGCCCUCAGUCAUUUUCGCCUCAAUCCUAAAUUGGCUUCUCCAAACUUGCAGUUGCUUCCAGAAUUUGCUAGUCCAUUCCUGUCUCCAUUGUUGUACAAACUCUCCCCUCUGGUGUGCUUGCUGCCUCUUUGCUUUUGUUCCCUAACGAACUUCUAGUCAUCCUUCAAUGCCCAGGCCCAGUGAGUGCAUGCCCAUCUGUCCGGGUAUACCUUACCCGCCUCUUCUAGGCAGCUCCCUGUGUUUAACCCCAGCAUGGAGAGGAGGAGCUUCCUCAUUUGACCUAAGUGCCUGGAUGACACUGCCUGUGACCUGCCCUCAGGGACUCCUGACCAGGGUGUAUAAAGAUAAAAGCCUGCUCUGUCAUGGUGAGAAGGGACAGAAGCACACAGAUGAGCCCUCCCCGGUGAAAGCCAUGUGCAUGCUUAUUUUUGGUGUUUUAUGGGCCUCCUCAAAAGAUGAGAGAUGGAAAACAGAACUAUACCCACCCUGAGCUCUGUGGCCUGAAGAGUGGAUGGAAGGAACCAACCUAUUUUACAGAUAGGCAUCUGGAUGUGUAUUUAUGGCUUUCCAAACGAUGCUGUCUCGAAGAAAAACUAUCCACAGCGACGACUCUACGGAGAGGGCUGAGCCAGAGCGAAGUUCAAGGCUUUCUCAUGGUCUCCCAGGGACGCCUGGGACUCGAGUUUCUGAAGCAGACAUUGACCAAUGGGCUAUGGUUUGGGUCCUACACAGCAGCCUGCAUGCAGGAAGACCAUGCUCACUGGGGCCUCGACAGCACCCAGAGUGCCAGGAGUGAAGCAAAGCAUUGUAGCUGUGCACACUGACAGGGCAGGGGUGAGGAUAGGCCAUUGUUCCUCCUCCUUCUUCAUCUCCCCUUCCCUCCCUCCUGACUUCUCUCCUACCUUUCCUCUCUCUCUCUCUCUCUCUCUCUCUCUCUCUCUCUCUCUCUCUCUCUGUUUCUCUCUGUCUCUCUGUCUCUGUCUCUGUCUCUGUCUCUCUCUCUCUCUCUCGUUCUUCCCUCCCUCCUUCUCCCCUUGUUCUUUGUGAGCCAGGGUCUCAUGCAGUUCAGGCUGGCUUCAAAUUCACCAUGUGACCGAGGAUGACCUUGAACUCCUAAUGCAUCAUCUGCUUACACCUCCAGAAUGUGGGGUUACAGGAAUGUCCAGCUCAUCAGUGCUGGGGCAGAACUCCAGGCUUCCUGGAACUAGGCAAGUUCUCUGCCUACUGGGCCCCACCUCCAGCCUCCCUCCUUUAGACAGAGUCUUGCUAUGUAGACCAGGCUGGCCUUGAACUCACUGUCCUUCCAACCUCUGCCUCCGAAGGAUGAUUGGCAGGUAUGAACCCUAUCUCUUAUGUCUUAGCUCUGUCUCUUACAGGCUGUGUGACAGCCCAGGAGUGGCUUUUCUACACAGGCAGGCAUAUAGUAGACAUUUGCAAACUACCGAACCUUUCUAAGUCUCUGUUUCCUCGUCCAAAAGUGAGCAAUAGCCGGGCAUUGGUGGCGCAUGCCUUUAAUCCCAGCACUCGGGGAGGCAGAGACAGGCGGAUCUCUGUAAGUUUGAGGCCAGCAUGGUCUCCAGAGCAGGUGCCAGGAUAGGCUCCAAAGCUACACAGAGAAACCCUGUCUUGAAAAACCAAAAAAAA